UACGUAGGGUGCGAGCGUUGCCCGGAUUUAUUGGGCGUAAAGGGCGCGUAGGCGGCUCUCAGCAGUGGCGCGUGGAAUCUCCCGGCUCACCUGGGAGGGGCCGUGCCAGACGGGGGAGCUGGAGGCAGGUAGAGGGUCGCGGAACGGGCGGAGUAGGGGUGAAAUCCGUAGAGACCGUCCGGAACACCGAUGGCGAAGGCAGCGACCUGGGCCUGUCCUGACGCUGAGGCGCGAAAGCGUGGGGAGCGAACGGA
RNAcentral lists this ribosomal RNA (254 nucleotides) under uncultured bacterium. RNAcentral describes it as "partial 16S ribosomal RNA". It matches the Rfam family "Bacterial small subunit ribosomal RNA", at positions 524 to 776 of the family's 1533-position model. The record is from RNAcentral.